UUCUAUAGAACUGUUUAAAAUAUGUAUUCAAUUUGUUGGGAUGUGCGAAAUUGAGAAAAUAUUACAGUGAAUUUGUGGAGGCAAUGAGAUGGGAGGAAUAAAGCUUGAGCUUAGUUAGAUAAUAGUGGAGAUAUGUGAAAUACUAAGGGAACUAAUAGAGAUAUUCACAAACAGAUUUCUUGAUAAAUACCUAAAUAAAGCUUGUAUAAAGCUUACAAGAUCGAGAUUCACAAAAUAAGUAUUGUUGCUGGGAGCAAAGGUCUCAGUAAUGCCUUUUCAGCGUAAAGCUAAAUGCUUGAAUCUAUUUUAUGUUAACCCCCUUAUUGAGGGUUACUGAAAUAAGUAAAUUAAAAAAGGGAAAUUAUUUUCUUACUCCAUGGUUUAAUUCCUCUUUAAUUAAACUCUUUUUGUAUUCACAACGCGCCUAGCUAAUACUUUACCCGAAACUUUACCCAAAACUUUAACCGAUUUUUUAUAAACAAACUUAUCUAAUAAACCUAUUUUCUCGAAGUUUGGCAUAUAUUUUCCCUAAAUAUAUUUUUUUGGCAGCAAGCAACAAAAAAAAAUUACCUUUUAUUCUUAGAAAAUUCAGAAAAGACAAAAAAUUAUUGAGUUUUUUUAUGUAGCUGCCAUUUUGGGAAAAUUUUGUUUCUCAGUUAACCUAACCGCCAUUAUGACAUUUGCAUUGAUUGGUAAUCUACCCAUUUUCAUUCUGGGAGUUCAGAACAGUAGAAUUUUAGACAAGAUGGCAACGCGAUCGGUCCCUCUCGGCCUCAAUUUGUCUGAUAUUUUUCCAUAUUAUUAAAUAACUGACAAAAGUUAGUGUUAUAACAAAUAAUUUUAAAUUUUCAAUAAUUUUUUAAUUUUUUUUUAAUAAUAAAUAAAAAAUGAAUAAAUAUUUUUAAGUUUUUAAUAAUUUUUUAUUUUUUUUUGUUUGGCAUAUGAACCACCCUUUUUCUAUGGUUACAAAUAUGUAAAUAAUAAUAACGUUCAGAAUAGAAGCUUGAGCAGGCACACUGCAAUUAUAAAUCUAAUAACAAGCGCUAACAUAUUCUUCGAAAUACGACUUAAGUUGACAGAUUUUCUCACAUAAAAUAGCGUGCAUAGUACCGAUUUCCAAUACCUCCGCUACAAAUGGACUAUAAGGGUAUUCAGUGAGAAUUGCAAUAAAAUUGAGCGCAAUUAUGAGCCACCUUUGUAAUCUUGUUUUGUUUAUAUAUUGUCGACAAAUAGCCGACAGCUUCAGUUUCACUGCAUUUCACCAAGAGUAAGGAAGUAUUUUUUCUUAAUAAAAUGUACAAUAAAUUUUUUUCAUUAUUGUGUAUACUGUUCGCAGUACAGUUUACAGCAUUUGCGCACCCAUUGGAAAAUGGCAAAGAUACACAAGAAGUAGCCGAUAUUAAGGCGCCAAAAGAGCAAAGCAUAAUAUCAGAUGCACCAGGUGUGCAGGAGUUCAAAAAAGACAUAGUGAGUCACUUAAUAGCAAGCCUUGGGGAUGAGGAAGGAGAUGAAACUGGUGUCCUAAGUGCGCAAUUGUCUUCAGCUGAGGUAGAUCUACCCUGCUUGCCAAGUGAUGCUGUUAGAAUACAUGUGCUAAGAAGCAAUUUCCGGUUGCCAGAGCGCCUUUUCCAUGCACCAAAGAGAUGUUCGGAGGAAGAGAAAUAAAUGAACUCUUUAAGAAUUUA
Molecule: long non-coding RNA, 1685 nt
Organism: Bactrocera dorsalis (oriental fruit fly)
Lineage: Eukaryota; Metazoa; Arthropoda; Insecta; Diptera; Tephritidae
Exons: 2
Source: RefSeq, a predicted model, not a curated record